GAUGAAGAACGUAGUGAAAUGCGAUAAGUAAUGUGAAUUGCAGAAUUCAGUGAAUCAUCGAAUCUUUGAACGCACCUUGCGCUCUUUGGCCAUUCCAAGGAGCAUGCCUGUUUGAGUGUCAUUGAAUCCUCAAGGGCCCCCUUUCUUCCGAGGGGGGGGGACUUUGGACUUGGGAGCGCUGCGGCCGCCGGGCUUUCCUCCGGCUCCGCUCUCCUCAAACGCAUCAGUAGGGCCCCUCAUCCCUUCGGGUCUUUUGCGGCGUUGAUAGUCGUCUACGCCUCUGCCCCGUCGGGUCUCACCUGCUCCUCAACCCCACAUUCUCCUUUGAACGCUUUGACCUCAAAUCAGGUAGGACUACCCGCUGAACUUAAGCAUAUCAAUAAGCGGAGGA
RNAcentral lists this unclassified non-coding RNA (391 nucleotides) under soil metagenome. RNAcentral's name for it is "partial contains 5.8S ribosomal RNA, internal transcribed spacer 2, and large subunit ribosomal RNA". The stretch from base 1 to 121 matches the Rfam family "5.8S ribosomal RNA", at positions 35 to 154 of the family's 154-position model. The record is from RNAcentral.